UGAAGAGAGCAGUGUGACAUUCUGGAUGCC
RNAcentral lists this non-coding RNA (30 nucleotides) under Homo sapiens (human). Lineage: Eukaryota; Metazoa; Chordata; Mammalia; Primates; Hominidae. The record is from RNAcentral.